GAUGAACGCUGGCGGCGUGCCUAAUACAUGCAAGUAGAGCGAACAGACGAGGAGCUUGCUCCUCUGACGUUAGCGGCGGACGGGUGAGUAACACGUGGAUAACCUACCUAUAAGACUGGGAUAACUUCGGGAAACUGGAGCUAAUACCGGAUAAUAUAUUGAACCGUAUGGUUCAAUAGUGAAAGACGGUUUUGCUGCCACUUAUAGAUGGAUCCGCGCCGUAUUUGCUAGUUGGUAAGGUAACGGCUUACCAAGGCAACGAUGAGUAGCCGACCUGAGAGGGGAAUCGACCACACGGGAACGAGGACACGCUCCAGACUCCUACGGAGGGCGGCAGUGGGGAAUCUUCGGCAAUGGGCGAAAUCUGAACGGGGCAACGCGGCGGAAGUAAGGAGGGUCUUCGAAUCUUAAGACUCUGUUAUUGGGAAGGAACAAAUGUGUAAGUAACUAUGCACGUCUUGACGGUACCUUAUCAGAAAGCCACGGCUAACUACGUG
This 497-nucleotide ribosomal RNA is filed under the name uncultured bacterium. RNAcentral describes it as "partial 16S ribosomal RNA". It matches the Rfam family "Bacterial small subunit ribosomal RNA", at positions 28 to 507 of the family's 1533-position model. The record is from RNAcentral.